This is a non-coding RNA of Cricetulus griseus (Chinese hamster), 52 nucleotides long. NCBI's taxonomy places the organism in Eukaryota, Metazoa, Chordata, Mammalia, Rodentia, Cricetidae. The record is from Rfam.
GGGAAACUACUAUGGGGGCCUACCUCAGGCCCCGAGACAAAUCUAUGGGGCA